CGAUAUGCUUUGGGGAGCUGUACGUAAGCGUUGAUCCAGAGAUUUCCGAAUGGGGGAACCCACUAUCUUUAGUCGGAUAGUAUCCUUACGUGAAUACAUAGCGUAAGGAAGGCAGACCCAGGGAACUGAAACAUCUAAGUACCUGGAGGAAGAGAAAGAAAAAUCGAUUUCCUGAGUAGCGGCGAGCGAAACGGAAAGAGCCCAAACCAAGAAGCUUGCUUCUUGGGGUUGUAGGACACUCUAUACGGAGUUACAAAAGAAAGUUAUAAAUGAAGCGGUCUGGAAAGGCCCGCCAAAGACGGUAACAGCCCGGUAGUUGAAAUGGCUUUCCCUCCAGAGUGGAUCCUGAGUACGGCGGAACACGUGAAAUUCCGUCGGAAUCCGGGAGGACCAUCUCCCAAGGCUAAAUACUCCCUAGUGACCGAUAGUGAACCAGUACCGUGAGGGAAAGGUGAAAAGCACCCCGGAAGGGGAGUGAAACAGUUCCUGAAACCGUGUGCCUACAAGUAGUUAGAGCCCGUUAAUGGGUGAUAGCGUGCCUUUUGUAGAAUGAACCGGCGAGUUACGAUUUGUUGCAAGGUUAAGCGGAAAAAGCGGAGCCGUAGCGAAAGCGAGUCUGAAUAGGGCGCAUAAGUAACAGGUCGUAGACCCGAAACCAGGUGAUCUACCCAUGUCCAGGAUGAAGGUAAGGUAAUACUUACUGGAGGUCCGAACCCACGCACGUUGAAAAGUGCGGGGAUGAGGUGUGGGUAGCGGAGAAAUUCCAAUCGAACUUGGAGAUAGCUGGUUCUCUCCGAAAUAGCUUUAGGGCUAGCCUCGAGGUAAAGAGUCAUGGAGGUAGAGCACUGUUUGGACUAGGGGCCCUUCUCGGGUUACCGAAUUCAGAUAAACUCCGAAUGCCAUGUACUUAUACUCGGGAGUCAGACUGCGAGUGAUAAGAUCCGUAGUCGAAAGGGAAACAGCCCAGACCACCAGUUAAGGUCCCCAAAUAUAUGUUAAGUGGAAAAGGAUGUGGGGUUGCUUAGACAACCAGGAUGUUGGCUUAGAAGCAGCCACCAUUGAAAGAGUGCGUAAUAGCUCACUGGUCGAGUGACCCCGCGCCGAAAAUGUACCGGGGCUAAACAUAUUA
RNAcentral lists this ribosomal RNA (1129 nucleotides) under Listeria monocytogenes. RNAcentral's name for it is "bacterial LSU rRNA". It matches the Rfam family "Bacterial large subunit ribosomal RNA", at positions 69 to 1193 of the family's 2925-position model. Lineage: Bacteria; Bacillati; Bacillota; Bacilli; Caryophanales; Listeriaceae. The record is from RNAcentral.